GGAUUCGUGCUCGAAGAGAACCUGCACACAGGUGCUGCAUGGCUGUCGUCAGCUCSUGUCGUGAGAUGUUGGGUUAAGUCCCGCAACGAGCGCAACCCUUGUCAUUAGUUGCUACAUUCAGUUGAGCACUCUAAUGAGACUGCCGGUGACAAACCGGAGGAAGGUGGGGAUGACGUCAAGUCCUCAUGGCCCUUAUAGGUGGGGCUACACACGUCAUACAAUGGCUGGUACAGAGGGUUGCCAACCCGCGAGGGGGAGCUAAUCCCAUAAAACCAGUCGUAGUCCGGAUCGCAGUCUGCAACUCGACUGCGUGAAGUCGGAAUCGCUAGUAAUCGCGGAUCAGCAUGCCGCGGUGAAUACGUUCCCGGGUCUUGUACACACCG
RNAcentral lists this ribosomal RNA (383 nucleotides) under Delftia sp. RNAcentral's name for it is "bacterial SSU rRNA". The record is from RNAcentral. Lineage: Bacteria; Pseudomonadati; Pseudomonadota; Betaproteobacteria; Burkholderiales; Comamonadaceae.